CCAUCGGUGGUUCAGUGGUAGAAUGGGGCGGCCCGGGUUCGAUUCCCGGCCGAUGCA
This 57-nucleotide transfer RNA is filed under the name Cordylochernes scorpioides. Its description in RNAcentral is "tRNA-OTHER". It matches the Rfam family "tRNA". From Rfam's summary of the family: Transfer RNA (tRNA) molecules are approximately 80 nucleotides in length. Lineage: Eukaryota; Metazoa; Arthropoda; Arachnida; Pseudoscorpiones; Chernetidae. The record is from RNAcentral.